Molecule: ribosomal RNA, 497 nt
Filed under: uncultured bacterium
Lineage: Bacteria
Description: partial 16S ribosomal RNA
Rfam family: Bacterial small subunit ribosomal RNA
Source: RNAcentral
GAUGAACGCUGGCGGCGUGCCUAAUACAUGCAAGUCGAGCGAACAGAUGAGGAGCUUGCUCCUCUGACGUUAGCGGCGGACGGGUGAGUAACACGUGGAUAACCUCCCUAUAAGACUGGGAUAACUUCUGGAAACCGGAGCUAAUACCGGAUAAUAUAUUGCACCGCAUGGUUCAAUAGUGAAAGACGGUUUUGCUGUCACUUAUAUAUUGAUCCGCGCCGCAUUAGCUAGUUGGUAAGGUAACGGCUUACCAAGGCGACGAUGCGUAGCCGACCUGAGAGGGUGAUCGGCCACACUGGAACUGAGACAAGGUCCAGACUCCUACGGGAGGCAGCAGUAGGGAAUCUUCCGAAAUGGGCGAAAGCCUGACGGAGCAACGCCGCGUGAGUGAUGAAGGUCUUCGGAUCGUAAAACACUGUUAUUAGGGAAGAACAAAUGUGUAAGUAACUAUGCACGUCUUGACGGUACCUAAUCAGAAAGCCACGGCUAACUACGUG